CUUCACCUGUCAGCUUCACCUUCAAUCUCUCCUUUCUAGGGAGAUUCUAUAUAUAAGACUCUGGUCUGGACUCAGGACGUCUUUUCUAUUUGUCUAGGACUUGUUGGUAUUUGCACUCUGAAUAUAUUCUAGCUGGUCUCGACUGCGUUAAGCGAUAUAUGUUUUUUGAGGUAACUUCCACCUUGAAAACAAUCAUAAAAUCAAAAUCAUAAAAUUACCUUUUUAUGAAUUAACUUUUAAAAGUGUGCUAAAAAAUAUAUAUACUUCCACACUUUUGUUGUCAAGUUCUACAGAGAAAUGUUCGUACAUGUUCAUAUCCUACUAACUAGAAUAUUGUGAGUUUCAAAGUUUAAUUUUUUUUUAAAUAUAGAUGAUGAUAUAUAAAAAAUAUAAUGUAAAAAAAUGCUAAAUGGUGAAAAGUCAUUCAUUUUCUGUCCAGCUAAUUCUUUUACAUUUUGUUUUAUUGUUUCUGAGUAAUCAUGCCAAUGAUGCAAAUUCCACAGGGACUGAGGAGAAAGAGAGAGCGGGGGAGAAAACAAGGAGGGAGCUGAGCAAAAGAGGGACGGGGAGGAAAAAGAAAGCUAGGAACAGCAUGUGUUGGAUCUCCCCAGCUGAUAUGUGUGUUUCAACCACAAGGUCCAUGCCAGGCAAGCGAAUAACUGCACUUGCAACUAUGCUACUCACACCUCCCAGGGCGAUGCAUUCAUUUUUUUCCCAAUUUUUUCUUCUACCUACCACAGCAGACCAGCAUCGCGAUGGUGUUGAUUGUUCGACUGUGCGU
Molecule: long non-coding RNA, 781 nt
Filed under: Dicentrarchus labrax (European seabass)
Lineage: Eukaryota; Metazoa; Chordata; Actinopteri; Moronidae
Description: lncRNA (ENSDLAG00005023848.2)
Source: RNAcentral